RNAcentral lists this small RNA (317 nucleotides) under Histoplasma capsulatum. Its description in RNAcentral is "hypothetical RNA". The record is from RNAcentral. RNAcentral also lists the same sequence under 1 other name. Lineage: Eukaryota; Fungi; Ascomycota; Eurotiomycetes; Onygenales; Ajellomycetaceae.
UUGGGGGGAUUGGGUUGGGUGAUUCGUACCCUCUAUACCACCAUGGCGCUGGUGGUGAUUGAGCUCUUUUGCCCUAGUGGCCUAAUAGGUUAUGAGCCCGUGUAAGCGCGACUGCUACAGGGUGUGCCAACAUGCUAUCACAGGUUCGAAUCAGACCAAGGCCAGAGGAAUAUCCCUUACUAAUGCACAUUCUCUUGCCAAGAUGGGGGAGAUUGGUGGUUAGGCACCCAGGAAGACCCCAGGCCACCAAGGACCAAUGGCAGUAGGGUAGUGGAACUUAGGAAGAGCCAGGUUCCCCCAGCUGGCCGGAUGGUAGA